CCUACGGGAGGCAGCAGUGGGGAAUAUUGCACAAUGGGGGAAACCCUGAACCAGCCACGUCGCGUGAGGGAAGAAGGAUCUAGGGAUUGUAAACUUCAUUUGUAGGGGAGAAAAGGACGGUACCUGAUUAAGAAGCCCCGGCUAACUACGAGCCAGCAGCCGCGGUAAAACGUCGGGAGCCAGCGUUAUCCGGAUUUAGUGGGCGUAAAGGGGGCGUAGUCUGGAGUAAAAGUCUGGAGUGAAAUGCCGGGGCUUAACCCCAGAACUGCUGUUGAAACUGUGCAGCUAGAGUGCACGAGAGGUAAGUGGAAUGCGUGGUGUAGCGGUGAAAUGCAUAGAUAUUACGCAGAACUCCAAUGGCGAAGGCAGCUUACUGGAGUGUAACUGACGUUGAGGCACGAAAGCGUGGGGAGCAAACAGGAUUAGAUACCCCUGUAGUC
This 440-nucleotide ribosomal RNA is filed under the name uncultured bacterium. Its description in RNAcentral is "partial 16S ribosomal RNA". It matches the Rfam family "Bacterial small subunit ribosomal RNA", at positions 338 to 795 of the family's 1533-position model. The record is from RNAcentral.